RNAcentral lists this ribosomal RNA (496 nucleotides) under uncultured bacterium. RNAcentral's name for it is "partial 16S ribosomal RNA". It matches the Rfam family "Bacterial small subunit ribosomal RNA", at positions 28 to 506 of the family's 1533-position model. The record is from RNAcentral.
GAUGAACGCUGGCGGCGUGCCUAAUACAUGCAAGUCGAGCGAACAGACGAGGAGCUUGCUCCUUUGACGUUAGCGGCGGACGGGUGAGUAACACGUGGGUAACCUACCUAUAAGACGGGGAUAACUUCGGGAAACCGGAGCUAAUACCGGAUAAUAUUUCGAACCGCAUGGUUCGAUAGUGAAAGAUGGCUUUGCUAUCACUUAUAGCUGGACCUGCGCCGUAUUAGCUAGUUGGUAAGGUAACGGCUUACCAAGGCAACGAUACGUAGCCGAGCUGAGAGGGGGAUCGCGCACUCAGGAGCUGAGACACGGUCCAGGGUCCGACGGGAGGCAGCAGUAGGUAAGGUUGCGAAAUGUGCGGAAGCUUGACGGAGCAGCGCCGCGUGAGUGAUGAAGGUCUUCGGGUGGUAAAACGCUGUUAUUAGGGAAGAACAAUUUCGUAAGUAACUGAGCAUGUCUGGACGUUACCUAAACAGAAAGCCCCGGCAACCUACGU